UUGCAACGCUUUCCCCUUAUUUUACCGUAUAUACUGUAGUUAUAUGGUACAGGCCGGUUUGGGGGGGCGUUUUCAAGAAAUCCCUCCAAAAUCUUUACACAGGGUUGAGUUCAGGGCGGGAUUUCAGAAGUUUGGUACAAUUACACACCUAAGACUUUUUUGGAAAGUGAUUAUACUUGGUAUAACCUAAAUCAGUGGGUUAUUUAACGCGAUCGGUUUCUCAUGCGCCCCUCUUUUUCCUUCAGCCGAUGGAUCGGUUCAGUUAUUCCGAAGAAAGGGACUUGUUUUGCGCGAGCCAACUUCGUUACUUUGGCUGAGUUCCGGUUGUCGUGCUUCGCAGUUAGCUUGAUAGCGGUUAGCUAAACAAGCUGCAAGACAUGUAAACAUUACGCAUAGAAGGUUCCGGUUUGUUUUUCUCCACCUUAAACAAAAUGACGAUGUGAUUCAGCUGAAUAAACUGCCAGAGAAAUUGGAAAUCGCAACUUUGCAUUCCUAUAAUAAUAAUAACAAUAAUCGAGCGGUUUCUUCUUCGUUGGUGCGGGCGGUUUUCUUCUUCGGUGGUGUGAGUAACGCGUAAUGAAAUUACUCGGGCAAAAAGUCAUCCCAGAUGAUUUCCUCCAUAUCUGAACGCUUAUAUGGAUGGAUUAUCCUGCGAUUAUUUAUUUAGGGAACUCGAGAUCUUGCCUGCUUUUUCUGUCGUGCCUUUUUUUUUUAUUUUAAAAGAAAUCUGACUUGAAUUUGGAGAGCCAGACACUAUCUGUACAUCAUCAUCAUCGCCUCCCUACUCCUUUUUUUCUCCUUUCUUUCCUGCAGCUGGAUUUCAGUCUGGGAUCCCUGGUAAAGUGUGUCUGAGGGAAGUCUGAAACUGUGAUUACAUUUUGUACAGUCUUUAGUUAAAGCAUUAGAUAACGCUGAUCACACUCAGGAAAAUCAGACCAAAAAAAAAAAAAAAAAGCUAUGAAAACCCUGAGCUGAGUUCUUCAGAGCCUUGUGGAUAUCUGUUCGAACAGAUAAUCGCCUCUUUGGGCCACCAUGCCUGGCCCUGUGGCUGGCAGCACAGCUCGCGUCUACACUGAUGUGAACACUUUGAAGAGCAGGGAAUACUGGGAUUAUGAAGCUCAUGUGCCAAACUGGAGUAAUCAGGAGGACUAUCAGCUGGUGCGGAAGUUGGGCCGGGGGAAGUACAGCGAGGUGUUCGAGGCCGUUAAUGUCAGUAACAGCGAGAAAGUGGUGGUGAAGAUCCUGAAGCCUGUCAAGAAGAAAAAGAUCAAACGAGAAAUCAAAAUCCUAGAAAACCUGAGAGGAGGAACCAACAUCAUCCGGCUCGUGGAUACAGUAAAGGACCCUGUGUCCCGAACUCCUGCUCUUGUCUUCGAGUGCAUCAAUAACACUGAUUUCAAGGAGCUGUACCAGAAGUUAACAGAUUUUGAUAUCCGUUAUUACAUGUACGAACUACUAAAGGCCCUGAACUACUGCCACAGUAUGGGCAUCAUGCACCGUGACGUCAAACCCCACAACGUCAUGAUCGAUCAUCAGUUGAGGAAGCUGAGGCUGAUAGAUUGGGGUCUGGCUGAGUUCUAUCACCCUGCACAGGAGUACAAUGUCCGAGUGGCAUCUCGCUACUUCAAGGGUCCUGAGCUGCUCGUGGAUUACCAAAUGUAUGACUACAGUCUGGACAUGUGGAGUCUGGGCUGCAUGCUGGCCAGUAUGAUUUUCAGGAAGGAGCCGUUCUUCCACGGUCAGGACAACUACGACCAGUUGGUGCGGAUUGCUAAAGUCCUCGGAACCGACGAGCUCUUCGGCUACCUGCGAAAAUAUCACAUUGAACUGGACCCGCGCUUUAAGGACCUGCUUGGCCAGCAGACGAGGAAGCGCUGGGAGCAGUUUGUGCAGGCAGAGAAUCAGCACCUGGUGAGUCCUGAGGCUCUGGACCUGCUGGAUAAACUACUGCGCUACGACCACCAGCAGAGACUCACCGCCACCGAAGCCAUGGAGCACCCCUACUUCUACCCAGUGCUGCAGGAACAAUCUCUUACCAAUGCGAAUAACACUGUAGGAUCAGAAGGAUCUCAUGCAGCUCGGUGAACAGUCAGUGACCGCCUGAAGUCUGGAACCCAUGGGCAUCACCAAAUGCUGAGUUUCUUCCCUUGAGAUGCUUUGCCAGACCUUUACUGCAGCUGCCUUCGGUUUCUGCUUGUUUGUGGGUUCUUCUGCCCUCAGUUUUGUUUUCAAUUUUCCGAAAGCUGAAAAUAACUUGUUACCUCAGUUUACCCUUCGUGGCAGAAACCUCUCAAUGUGUACAGCUGAAGAUGGGGGGGAAAAACAGUAUUGACCAGUUUACACCUUACACACAAUGUUGUCCUUCUUCGUAUCAGUGAAGGUUGGUCUGUCCCCUGUACCUCCACAGGCGCUGGAGCCGUUUUAGUUUGGAGAUCAUGAACCUCAUGCCUCCUGUUUUAUUGAUAAGUGAGGAGUUGUUGGAGAUGUCAGGCCAGUCUCUGCCCCCUCGUACCGUGACCCUGCCUUCGAUCUAGCCGUGAAGAGUGAAGCACAGAUGAAACCCCGCCCUCCCUGUCCUUCUCACUGGUCUGUCUGUGUGUUCAGUAUUCAGACCCCUGUGUGGUGUCUUAUGCACCACCACACACACACAAGUGGCAUAUUGGACCUCAUUUCUCUUUGCUCUAGGUAGAAAAGUAUUAAUGACAAUAAAUGACUUUUAUUUAAA
This is an RNA transcript of Neoarius graeffei (lesser salmon catfish), 2725 nucleotides long. It is a transcript of the gene named casein kinase 2, alpha prime polypeptide b, with no coding region annotated. NCBI's taxonomy places the organism in Eukaryota, Metazoa, Chordata, Actinopteri, Siluriformes, Ariidae. The transcript has 13 exons. The record is from RefSeq and is a predicted model, not a curated record.